RNAcentral lists this ribosomal RNA (468 nucleotides) under uncultured bacterium. Its description in RNAcentral is "partial 16S ribosomal RNA". It matches the Rfam family "Bacterial small subunit ribosomal RNA", at positions 28 to 507 of the family's 1533-position model. The record is from RNAcentral.
GACGAACGCUGGCGGCGUGCUUAACACAUGCAAGUCGAACGGAAAGGCCCUGCUUUUGUGGGGUGCUCGAGUGGCGAACGGGUGAGCAACACGUGAGUAACCUGCCCUUGACUUUGGGAUAACUUCAGGAAACUGGGGCUAAUACCGGAUAGGAGCUCCUGCUGCAUGGUGGGGGUUGGAAAGUUUCGGCGGUUGGGGAUGGACUCGCGGCUUAUCAGCUUGUUGGUGGGGUAGUGGCUUACCAAGGCUUUGACGGGUAGCCGGCCUGAGAGGGUGACCGGCCACAUUGGGACUGAGAUACGGCCCAGACUCCUACGGGAGGCAGCAGUGGGGAAUAUUGCACAAUGGGCGGAAGCCUGAUGCAGCAACGCCGCGUGCGGGAUGACGGCCUUCGGGUUGUAAACCGCUUGCGCCUGUGACGAAGCGUGAGUGACGGUAAUGGGUAAAGAAGCACCGGCUAACUACGUG